GGAAGGAUCAUUAUCAGUCUCUGGCUGUGCAUGCUGCAUGUGCAAUCCAAAACAAACCACUCUGUGUACUUUUCCUGUUGCUUCCAUGGGGCAUGGUGUCUUUGCAUCACUCCGCGGUUGGUCUUUAUUGGCUGCUGUUUGGAGAGUCUCCAUGAAAGGUUAUUGACCAAAUCACUUGCUGUCUUGUAUUUUCAGUCUGAAUAUGAUAAAAUUAAUAUAGUUAAAACUUUCAACAACGGAUCUCUUGGUUCUUGCAUCGAUGAAGAACGCAGCGAAAUGCGAUAAGUAGUGUGAAUUGCAGAAUUCAGUGAAUCAUCGAAUCUUUGAACGCACAUUGCGCCCUUCGGUAUUCCGGGGGGCAUGCCUGUUCGAGCGUCAUCAAAAACAUCUCAAGACAUGUUCUUGGUCAUGGAGAGUGGUUGACUUUAUGUCACCCACUUCCUAAAUUGAUUGGCAGAUUGCAAAACUUUCACCGAGUGUAAUAAUAAUAACCAUUCAUGACGUGACUUUUGCAUAUUGAGCUAUAAACCCUCAUUUAUUAUUCAGGUUGACCUCGGAUCAGGUAGGGAUACCCGCUGAACUUAAGCAUAUCAAUAAGCGGAGGA
RNAcentral lists this ribosomal RNA (605 nucleotides) under uncultured fungus. Its description in RNAcentral is "eukaryotic LSU rRNA". The stretch from base 225 to 378 matches the Rfam family "5.8S ribosomal RNA". The record is from RNAcentral. Lineage: Eukaryota; Fungi.